CAAGAAUAUUAGUCAAUGCUCGCAAGAGUGAACUAGCUAACUGAAAUCAUUUGUGUGUCACAAGUGAUAACGUAAGGGAAAAUAAUGAUAUUACCUUACUAUUAGUGUCGUCCAAAGCUGGUGCCAGAAGACUCGGUAAGGCCAGAGACGCAAACGUUAGUCGUCUUUAUCAGGCGUAAAGGGUUUGUAGGCUGCUUUGAAAGUUUAUAAUUUAAUAUAGCCAUAGUAAAUUAGAGAUGAAUUAAAGCUAGAAUCAAAUAGAGGUUAUAUUAAAGAAUACUUAGUGUAGGGUCGAUAUCCUUAGAUACUAAGGGGAAUACUCAAGGCGAAGGCUUUUUUCCAUUAAUGAUUGACGCUGAGAAACGAAAGGGAGGACAGGAAAUAGGAUUAGAUACCCCGGUACCCCUCCCUGUAAACGAUGAAUGGUGGUUGCUAGUUUAAUAACUGGUGGCGAUGUUAACACGAUAACCAUUCCGCCUUGUGAGUACGACUGCAAAGUUGAAAACAAAAAAAUUAGUCGGUCUCGAAGCAAACGAAGUGAAGCAUGUUAUUUAAUUCG
This 559-nucleotide ribosomal RNA is filed under the name Candelabrochaete africana. Its description in RNAcentral is "SSU rRNA". It matches the Rfam family "Bacterial small subunit ribosomal RNA", at positions 356 to 953 of the family's 1533-position model. The record is from RNAcentral. Lineage: Eukaryota; Fungi; Basidiomycota; Agaricomycetes; Polyporales; Irpicaceae.